This 482-nucleotide ribosomal RNA is filed under the name uncultured bacterium. RNAcentral describes it as "partial 16S ribosomal RNA". It matches the Rfam family "Bacterial small subunit ribosomal RNA", at positions 30 to 507 of the family's 1533-position model. The record is from RNAcentral.
AUUGAACGCUGGCGGCAUGCCUUACACAUGCAAGUCGAACGGUAACAGGUCUUCGGAUGCUGACGAGUGGCGAACGGGUGAGUAAUACAUCGGAACGUGCCCGAUCGUGGGGGAUAACGAAGCGAAAGCUUUGCUAAUACCGCAUACGAUCUACGGAUGAAAGCAGGGGACCGCAAGGCCUUGCGCGAACGGAGCGGCCGAUGGCAGAUUAGGUAGUUGGUGGGAUAAAAGCUUACCAAGCCGACGAUCUGUAGCUGGUCUGAGAGGACGACCAGCCACACUGGGACUGAGACACGGCCCAGACUCCUACGGGAGGCAGCAGUGGGGAAUUUUGGACAAUGGGCGAAAGCCUGAUCCAGCCAUGCCGCGUGCAGGAUGAAGGCCUUCGGGUUGUAAACUGCUUUUGUACGGAACGAAAAGUCUCUGGUUAAUACCUGGGGUCCAUGACGGUACCGUAAGAAUAAGCACCGGCUAACUACGUG